This 81-nucleotide transfer RNA is filed under the name Paragonimus westermani. RNAcentral's name for it is "tRNA-Arg". It matches the Rfam family "tRNA". From Rfam's summary of the family: Transfer RNA (tRNA) molecules are approximately 80 nucleotides in length. Their secondary structure includes four short double-helical elements and three loops (D, anti-codon, and T loops). The record is from RNAcentral. Lineage: Eukaryota; Metazoa; Platyhelminthes; Trematoda; Plagiorchiida; Troglotrematidae.
GGCUUCGUAGCUCAGCUGGUAGAGCGCUUGCCGCGAUUAUGCAUGCCGUGUCUGUCGCUGCUUCGAAUCCAGCCGAAGCCC